RNAcentral lists this unclassified non-coding RNA (296 nucleotides) under uncultured fungus. RNAcentral describes it as "partial contains 5.8S rRNA and ITS2". The record is from RNAcentral. Lineage: Eukaryota; Fungi.
AACGCAAGUUGCGGUUUUCUUUCGAAAACCAUGUUUGCCUGAGGGUUGUUUCACACAAAUUGAGGCGUGUCAUUUCCCAUAAAAAAGAGAUGACACCCUUUAAAUGAUUUUGAAUUUCCCCUCCCGAUCUUUUGUGACUUGAAGAAAAGUUAAUUUUUUUUCAAGAAACGAAAUCUCUCCAUUUUUUUCUUUUACCUAGAAAACAAAGAAAAGGAGCUCAUUGAGUACCUUCCAAAAAAAAAAAAAUUAAUUAAUAACGCAACCUCAGAUCAAGCAAGACUACCCGCUGAACUUAA